Molecule: ribosomal RNA, 209 nt
Filed under: uncultured bacterium
Lineage: Bacteria
Description: partial 16S ribosomal RNA
Rfam family: Bacterial small subunit ribosomal RNA
Source: RNAcentral
UACGUAGGGUGCGAGCGUUGUCCGGAAUUAUUGGGCGUAAAGGGCUCGUAGGCGGUCUGUCGCGUCGAAAGUGAAAACUCAGGGCUUAACCCUGAGCCUGCUUCCGAUACGGGCAGACUAGAGGUAUGCAGGGGAGAACGGAAUUCCUGGUGUAGCGGUGAAAUGCGCAGAUAUCAGGAGGAACACCGGUGGCGAAGGCGGGUCCUGGC